ACGUGUAUCCCCAGGGGUUCAAACCAGGACAUUUAGGAUUACGCAAAAAAAAAAAAAAUUGAAUAAUGGCAGGAAAAAGGCACCUACGUCAACAGUGUAAGGCAACUAUAUUCAUUAUAAACAUUUUGCUAAUACAAAAGGUACAGGUUAUGGGCUGCCAGGGGCACACAAGUGAAAAAAGAUNGGGAACCACCGCUCUAGGCCCUUGAUCAUUUUAGUCAACCUCUUUGGAAUCUUUCCAUACUCUACUAUAUCCCCCUUUUGAGAUGUGGCAACCAAACCCACGCCGUGUAUUCCAGAUGUGGUCACACUGUUGAUUUGUUUCAGGGCUUUGCAACAUUAGGAACUCUGUUUCCUAAAACCAUUCCUUGCCGACCCUAACGUUGCGUUGACCUUUUAUAUGGCACUGAGGCAUGCUGUGUGUGAAAGCAGACUGCUGGGCUUCGUGGGACAAUGGAACCUUUCCUGUGUUCUAAAUAAUGUUCUUAUGUUCUGGUGGGAGGAACACAGGAAGAGUUUUUUGAAACAUCAUUUUAAGCGUUAUACAAAGUGGCUGCGCUCCUUCUGGCCUGAGGACAGUGCUCAUCCCUGGCCAGUCCCAACAGGGGGCCGCAUUCCAACAGUGGGUGAGGCUACAAGCACGGGCAUAAACCUACCGUUGAACGAGCCUGGCUUUUUUUGUUAGGCCUCAGGAAGCAAAGAGGAAGCCAUUUUGGAGUGUCUGGCUGGCUGAUGAGCUCGGUGUUUGUUCAUUAUUGCAUUCUCUGUUUUCUUUGCCAGGAGCCCAUUUCACACUAACUAGGCCUCGGCCUGAAUUUUACUCUCACGCAUGGCAUAUGAAUGCAGAAACUACAGUGGGAACUGAUAACGGCAUUGAGGAAAUGAGAGAGAUGGGAGGUGAGAACAUACCUCAAGGGAAGGAGGAAAGCAGCAAUGAGAGCUGGGGAAGAAAUCUGGAUUCUCAAAGACCCCAAGUAAGUCCUGAAGAACAGGACUCUUUCAGCUGCGUAGAUCCUGUUGAGGCCAAUUCUCCUUUAUCACCAUCUCCUACUCCCAUGGUGAGGUCCAGGAAGAAAAAGAAGACAGAUGUCAUGUUUGAGCAGUUCCUGCAGCAGUCCAGAGAACAGCACAAGGAGCUUCUCCUCGAAAUGGCCCGUGACAGAGAGGUGGCGCUGGACUUCCUGAAGAGCUUCAAGGAGGAUGCCGCAGAACACCGGGAGGAGAGCGAGCACCUUACGGAGACAAUGUACACCCAGAAUGAGACUUUGAAGGGACUGGUUGCUAAUUUGAACAGCUUGAUUGAUGCCUUUGUGAACCAAUCCCAGAACAGGCAUUGUUCUAAUACCUCCCACAGCACCGCAAUGCAAUGAGGGAACCAGGCCGAACAACAAGAGUUGCAGCCUCUGGCAUCUGCUGCACUGCUGGCGUGGCAAUAAUUUCACUUAUCCAGAGUUCCACAGCCUGGCCACACAUUUCCUGAAGACCACCAUAGUGACACCUAUGAGUGACCACUGCGGAGAGCUGUGUUUUUAUACAGAUUUUUUGGAAAGUGUUCAAGAAUAUUUUUUUAAGCAAAAUAAAGAGUUAUUUAAAAAAAAAGGGGGGGGAACA
RNAcentral lists this long non-coding RNA (1611 nucleotides) under Salvator merianae (Argentine black and white tegu). Its description in RNAcentral is "lncRNA (ENSSMRG00000016121.1)". The record is from RNAcentral. Lineage: Eukaryota; Metazoa; Chordata; Lepidosauria; Squamata; Teiidae.